RNAcentral lists this ribosomal RNA (418 nucleotides) under uncultured bacterium. Its description in RNAcentral is "bacterial SSU rRNA". It matches the Rfam family "Bacterial small subunit ribosomal RNA", at positions 358 to 773 of the family's 1533-position model. The record is from RNAcentral.
GGAAUAUUGGUCACUGGACGCAAGUCUGAACCAGCCAUGCCGCGUGCAGGAUGACGGUCCUAUGGAUUGUAAACUGCUUUUGUACGAGAAGAAACACUACUUCGUGAAGUAGCUUGACGGUAUCGUAAGAAUAAGGAUCCGCUAACUCCGUGCCAGCAGCCGCGGUAAUACGGAGGAUCCAAGCGUUAUCCGGAAUCAUUGGGUUUAAAGGGUCCGUAGGCGGUUUAGUAAGUCAGUGGUGAAAGCCCAUCGCUCAACGGUGGAACGGCCAUUGGUACUGCUAGACUUGAAUUAUUAGGAAGUAACUAGAAUAUGUAGUGUAGCGGUGAAAUGCUUAGAGAUUACAUGGAAUACCAAUUGCGAAGGCAGGUUACUACUAAUAUAUUGACGCUGAUGGACGAAAGCGUGGGUAGCGAAC